Molecule: long non-coding RNA, 3723 nt
Organism: Photinus pyralis (common eastern firefly)
Lineage: Eukaryota; Metazoa; Arthropoda; Insecta; Coleoptera; Lampyridae
Exons: 3
Source: RefSeq, a predicted model, not a curated record
UAGAUAAUGAUUGAGAUAUCAAAAAAUUAAAUGCUUAAUUGAGAGGUUGAGGGUGGCUGUGAGGGGUGGUAAAGGAGGCCACUAAGAGCUAUACCACCUUUAUGUAAUUUGCUUUGCUUGGAUGUGACGUGAUGUACCUAUGCUUUGAUGGGAGCUAAGAAAAGUGGUGGAAGGGGACACGAUGUAUCGGUUGAUGCUGCUAAAGAGCACUGGGGAGAAGAGACACAUAUCAUGUAUCCGAUGGUGGGGUCAAAGCAACGGGGAUGUUAGGGACACGCGAUGUACCUACCCAUUGGCAGAUCAAUGGAUUGUUAAGGGAAGUGACGCGCAGCUGUGGGGUCAAAGGAAAGUCGGCGGAAGGGACGCGAUGUGUCCGUUGGGGGGCCAAUGUAAAAUGGAGUGAAGAGACACGAAGUUUCGGUUGGUGGGACCAAAGCAAAGUGGACGUAAGGAACUCGAUGUAUCCGUUGGCAGGGUCAAAGGAAUGUUAUGGGAAGGGACGCGCAGUUGUGAGGUCAAAGGAAAGUUGAGGGAAGGGGCGCGAUGUAUCCGUCGGGUGGCCAAUGUAAAAUGGGGGGAAGGGAUGCGAUGUAUUCGAUGAUAGGGCAAUGUAAAAUGUAGGGAAAGGAUGCGAUGUAUCCGUUGGCAGGGUCAAAGGAUUGUUAAGGGAAGGGACGCGCAUCGGUGGGGCAAAUGGAAAGUUUAGGGAAGGGUCGCGGUGUAUCAGUUGGUGGGGCCAAUAAAAAAUGGAGGAUUAGGACAAGAUGUAUCGGAUGGUGUGGUGAAAAGAAAAUUAAGGAAAAGCAUGCUAAUGAGUCGUACCAUCAACCCUGUUUCAGCAUGGCAAUGGUUGUGAGUGAGUUACUUACCUUCAAACGUGAACGACUAUGGCAAUUCAACAGCCAUCGCCUGUUUUUCAAUGAUUAAUAACAUGCCGAAUCUUCAUGAGUAGGGUGGGUUCGACGAGACGGCCAAACUUUUCCUCUGAAAAUUCUCGAUAGAGGUAGCUAAUGAUUUGCGCAGUUGUUAAACAACUUCCGAGCGCGUGUUGUGUGCAUAUGGGACGCAGAGUCACACAAGUUGUUCGAAGAAUUUCUACAGACGCCAAACAAAACACCUUCCCUGGAGAAGUUAAUCGAAUUCAUUAGAAGUGCUUUUUUUUUAAAGCUCGAGAAGCUCAACAUUUGUCAGUCCAAGGUCACCAGAGUUGGCAGACAAAUCGUUAACAGGCCAGCAACAGCACAAGUGUUGUCGACACCAGCAAGGCAAACAUUGGUGAUAGAAAACUUUCAAAUGUAUGGACCACAUUUGCCACAACACAUGCUAUUCGUUUAAUCGCUGCAGAAUAUGCCAAUACCACCAAUACACCCUAUUGCAUCAGAAUAACUUAAAGCUCGUCGCAUGCAGUCUCAGUGGUACACGCAUCAAGACAGUCAGUUGAGUUUCGAGUACGCGCAUUUCCAGAAGAAAAGAAGUUUUACUAGCAACGGCGGCGGUAGUUAGAAUUAAAGACAUCUUCGGGGGACUACUAUUGGUAUUGGUUGAGCCAGAGUCUCAGCUGCAGGUCGAGUGCAGCACUAAAUGGGGUGAUCAAGAAAUCAGAAAAUUGGUACCACAUUAACGGUGGGCUCACUUUCCACGGAAGAAAAUCCAGCCGACAUAUUAUCAAGGGGGUGUCCAGCAACCACAAUAAAGACAGAUCCAUAUGGUGGAAUGUGCGGGAAUAGCUAAAAACGAAACGAAUGGGAGGCAUACUUAAAUACUACAGGUCACCACCAACCUAGAGAUGAAGCGAUAACCACAACAAUAGAAUUAGGACACGAGAGUAGUAUCAUAAACCGACGCUACAACGGGUGAUCGCAUACUGCAGUCGGUUCAGCAAGGCAUGCAGAGGACCGCAAAGUCAGCACAGGCAUCUAGAACUACAAGAGCUGAUCAGAGCAAGUCCUGGAGCAAAUGCAUCAAGUCAUCACAAUGACACAACGGCAGCAAUUCGAUAAAGAAGUAAAAUCACUUCAAGCACAUCAGCGGAGGAAGAUUACAAAAUCCAUAGCUAUCGUUCGACGAAAUUCAUCCCAUAAUACUACCACCAAGGCAACAACUCACAAGACUAGUCACGUUAGAUGCUCCGCAAGAAGUGCUCCAUGGAGGGAUCCAGAUCAUCCUGGCAUGUCUACGCAGGAAGAUUGGCUACUAAACGGCAAAAAAUAAGUGAUUCUCGGAUGCACAACAUGCAUCAGAUACAGGACGCAGACUGUCCAGCAACUAAUGGGAGAGACUACCCGCAGCGAGGGUAAUUCCAAAUUUACUCCAUUUACGCACCCCGGAAUAGAUUACCGCGAAUCCAGAUAAAUAAGAUCAUGGAUAGAAGGAGGACAGAAAGCAUAAAGGAUACAUUGCACUAUUUAUGUCCAACAACCAGGGCAAUACUUCUGGAAGUAGUAAGCGACAUGACUACAGAACCGUUCGUAGCAGCGUUGAGAAGAUUCAUCUCCAGACGAGGACAUCGUGCACAUAUAUACAGUGACAAUGGCACAAAUUUUUUGAGAGCGUUCCUAGGAGAGACCAAAGGGUUCCAGGACAGUCGUUUUGAUGGUCACUGGGAUUUCCAUGUCUACAAUUUGCAGCGUGGGACCGCUUUGCACCCGGUUAAUUCCCCAUAAUCUUUGAAGACAUGGUAGAUAUUACCCAACGGUUCUGCAGUGCAUCGUUCCUCCUUGAUGAUCCUGCCCAGGCAAGGCCGAAAUUAAUGCUAAUGGUAAAUUUCGCGUUUUUAAGAUUAGAGAAGGGCAGUCUUAUGAAGGUAGGAUUUUUCUCUUUUGCAUGGUGUUUUGCAUGUCAUAUUUUUGUGUAAAGGGGGGUAAAGUGAAUAGUGCAUAUAGUGACUAAAAGGAAGAUCGCCGACUGUAUUCAGCCAACUAAGAGAGUAGUAAAUGAGUUGUGACUAUCUUCUCAGUCUAUAAUCUUGGCAAUGUAAGAUUGACCCCAAUAAUUCUUGGAAUAGUCCCUUUUGCUGCCUGAGUCAGUUUACAUCAUAUUAAAAAGUGGCUAUGAAUUCAUAGUCACGCUAAUGAUAUGAUUUGAACGGAUUCGUCUGCGAACCAGACUAUAGAGAAGUUUUGAGGUCAAUUCUUUCGUUACCAAGUGCCAUGGUUUCGAGGAUUGUUAUGUCUCAUUUAUUACUACCUAUAUGAAGAUCGGCGUCAUAGUUUUUAAAGAGAGGUGAGUAAUUGAUUUUACUAAGUAGCAUUUUCAUUUAUAUUUACACUUUAUAGUUCAUAUAAUAUAUAUCUACCUAAAUAAUAUAAAUUAAGCGAUUUAGUUCUUUUUCUUGUAAGCUCUUGUAUAAAAAGUUCUCUUUAUAACUCACUUAAUUUUAAGUAAGCACAGUUUAGAAAUGUUUUUAACGUUAAUUUUCUGCUUGUUACAGAUUCCAGAAGGGCAGUUUUAUAAAGGUAGGAUUUUUUCUUUUAUUCAUUUCAUUUCAGCAGUGGGGGAAAAGUGAAUAGUGUCUAAAGAAGUUUUCAAUGGAUUCUCGUACAUCGUAAGUACAGUGUAAGUUGUCUUCUCAUCUUGGUAAGAAGAUUGAUUGCAAUGAUUCUUCGAAUGGUCUCUCUGGCAGGAUCAAUCAUUUGCAUCAUAUUAACGUGUAGGACUGUGAAUUCAUAGUUGUACUUUUUUUUAUGAAGUAAAGCGAUUGUCUUUGCAAACGAGCCUGUAAAA